This is a long non-coding RNA of Manis javanica (Malayan pangolin), 1662 nucleotides long. RefSeq lists it as uncharacterized. The record is from RefSeq and is a predicted model, not a curated record. Lineage: Eukaryota; Metazoa; Chordata; Mammalia; Pholidota; Manidae.
CGCUGAGCGAGCCCGGACGCCAGCCGAGGGGCGGAGCCUCUGGGGGCGGGGCGAAGCCGCCCGCGUGACCCGAAAGCGGGCCAACCACCCUCUGCGGGGACCUCCGAUCACCAGGCUGGAUCCGGGGUUGGACAAACAGAGCCUCCCCUCCAUCUCCCACAGUGGCCUGGAUCUACCCUCAGCUGCAUUUAAACUGCAGGGUGGCUGGGCUCGGCUCCUGUUGCAGAGCAAUGAUGAACAUCGAAGUGGAGAUUGUGCAUCGUGAGGCUCCUGGUAAAGCAGGAAAUGAACAAAUAGAACUUCAGAGGUCUGAAAAGAAUGCCCUGUUUGUGGAAGAGGCAGGCUGCAGUUGUCACUGCUGAAGGAAGGAUUCACAACUCCCCCAUGCUUCUUGCAACUGGCAAUUGAGAUCUUUAAAUUUUUCAUACAAGGUUGUAAGAUGGCUGAAAAGGCUUUAAGUCACAUCUACAAACUACAAUAUCCAAAGGAAGAAGAGGAAUUGCCUCUUCUGGUAUCUCCUGUUUAAGGUUUGUGACUGCUUCACCAGUAGAGUACAGAAGAAUCUGUGUGACUUCCAAGGCAAGAUCAUACAAAGCUAUGUGACUUCCAACUUAUUCACUAAAAUGCUUGCUCUUGGAAACUUGAUCUGCUUUAGAAGUCUGACUGCUCUAAGGCUGCUAUGCAGUGAGAAAGCCAAAGCCACAUGGAUGGCCGUGAUUAGUAGUUCCUGAGGAGCCCAUCUUUUGAAUAUGCCAACCUGGGCUGCAGACAUAUGAGUAAAGACAUUCCCAGAUAGCCACUGUUUAUGGAACACAUUCCUUCCCACCUCUCACUAGUGAAUGUCCAAGCUGAGGCUCCAGCAGACAAAAUUAUCUGUAAACCCAGACCUGUAUUCUAGGGUCAGAAGGACUUCUUGGCUAUUAUUGUUCCAAUGACAGCAACAACUACAAGGCGCCACAGCUCUGCACCCACUGGCUGUUUGACCCUAUAGUGUUAGCUUCAUCCUGUGGUGUUAUCAGCCUCUCAUGAUCUGGGGUAGGCUGCCAGCAGCCAGCAGCCAGCAGCACUAACUGCUCCCUCGUUUACCUUCAGUGGAGAGAUGGAGAGAGCAUCUCGGCUCCCAUGGCCGUCAGAAGAAUUUAGGACUUUCUUCCUAGAUGUUUCAGCAGCACCACCUCCCACAUCUUAUUGUUCUCAACUGGAUCACAUGAUCAUUUCUGAACAGGACCUGUUGUGUCUCCCAGAGUCCUGCAGGCCAGGCCUGUGUGCAGAAGCCUUGUUAAGAUCUCACUCCAAGAGAAAUGGACAGUGGGCUAUUUCCAAUUGCCUCAAACACCCUUCUCUACCUGAUGGGUCACCCUUCCUCACCCCCAUCUCAACUCAGCCAUCAAGACAGCCUCUUUUGAUGAACUUUUCCUAAUUCCCUACCCUCCUCAGUCUCCCAAAGGUGUCAGAUGUUCUUCAGCAUCCUGACCCUCUGACUAGAACCCCUGAUAAAGCACAUAUGACACUGUGCUGUGAUUGUCAGUUAAUAUACUGCUACAUAAGGGAAAGAUGUGUUUCAUGUACCUUAGCAUCUCCAAUGCCUACCACAUUGCUUGAUACAAAAUAAGGAAGCAGUGUUAUUAAUGAAUAAAAAUAAUGCAAAAACCCAGGUUUGGG